GGGUCAGUAGGUUGGUCGUGCCACCGGUACGUACUGGUCUCACUGAUUCCUCCUUCCUGAAGAACCGUAAUGCCAUUAAUUUGGUGUUGCGGGGAAACAGGACUGUUACUUUGAAAAAAUUAGAGUGUUUAAAGCAAGCUAACGCUUGAAUACAUUAGCAUGGAAUAAUGGAAUAGGACGAACGAUCCUAUUUUGUUGGUUUCUAGGAUUGACGUA
RNAcentral lists this ribosomal RNA (216 nucleotides) under Glomeromycotina sp. Its description in RNAcentral is "partial small subunit ribosomal RNA". The stretch from base 40 to 216 matches the Rfam family "Eukaryotic small subunit ribosomal RNA", at positions 686 to 864 of the family's 1831-position model. The record is from RNAcentral. Lineage: Eukaryota; Fungi; Glomeromycota.